This 496-nucleotide ribosomal RNA is filed under the name uncultured bacterium. RNAcentral describes it as "partial 16S ribosomal RNA". It matches the Rfam family "Bacterial small subunit ribosomal RNA", at positions 28 to 506 of the family's 1533-position model. The record is from RNAcentral.
GAUGAACGCUGGCGGCGUGCCUAAUACAUGCAAGUCGAGCGAACGGACGAGAAGCUUGCUUCUCUGAUGUUAGCGGCGGACGGGUGAGUAACACGUGGAUAACCUACCUAUAAGACUGGGAUAACUUCGGGAAACCGGAGCUAAUACCGGAUAAUUUUUUGAACCGCAUGGUUCAAAAGUGAAAGACGGUCUUGCUGUCACUUAUAGAUGGAUCCGCGCUGCAUUAGCUAGUUGGUAAGGUAACGGCUUACCAAGGCAACGAUGCAUAGCCGACCUGAGAGGGUGAUCGGCCACACUGGAACUGAGACACGGUCCAGACUCCUACGGGAGGCAGCAGUAGGGAAUCUUCCGCAAUGGGCGAAAGCCUGACGGAGCAACGCCGCGUGAGUGAUGAAGGUCUUCGGAUCGUAAAACUCUGUUAUUAGGGAAGAACAUAUGUGUAAGUAACUGUGCACAUCUUGACGGUACCUAAUCAGAAAGCCACGGCUAACUACGU